UGGGGGAUAUUGCACAAUGGGCGAAAGCCUGAUGCAGCGACGCCGCGUGGGGGAUGAAGGCUUUCGGGUUGUAAACCUCUUUCGCUAUCGAACAAGGCCCGCUUAGGGUGGGUGGAGGGUAGGUGGAGAAGAAGCGCCGGCUAACUACGUGCCAGCAGCCGCGGUAAUACGUAGGGCGCGAGCGUUGUCCGGAAUUAUUGGGCGUAAAGGGCUUGUAGGCGGCUUGUUGCGCCUGCUGUGAAAACGCGGGGCUUAACUUCGCGCGUGCAGUGGGUACGGGCAGGCUUGAGUGUUGUAGGGGUGACUGGAAUUCCAGGUGUAGCGGUGGAAUGCGCAGAUAUCUGGAGGAACACCGAUGGCGAAGGCAGGUCACUGGGCCAUUACUGACGCUGAGGAGCGAAAGCAUGGGUAGCGAACAGG
This 420-nucleotide ribosomal RNA is filed under the name bacterium. Its description in RNAcentral is "partial 16S ribosomal RNA". It matches the Rfam family "Bacterial small subunit ribosomal RNA", at positions 355 to 776 of the family's 1533-position model. The record is from RNAcentral.